Molecule: ribosomal RNA, 507 nt
Filed under: Triticum aestivum (bread wheat)
Lineage: Eukaryota; Viridiplantae; Streptophyta; Magnoliopsida; Poales; Poaceae
Description: partial small subunit ribosomal RNA
Source: RNAcentral
AUGCUCAAACAGAGGAUUGUGGGUUUGGCGGCAAUCGAGCGGGCACGAAAGAGGCAAGCAUCCAGGGUAACUUGGCUUCGAGCUGGAGACACCAAAACUGCUUUCUUUCAGGCGAAGAUCAAUGGCCGGCACCGUAAAAACUUCAUUCACGCCCUGAGCUCGGGAGACGGAGGGAGCACGGUGACCACGCACGAAGACAAGGCAGAUAUGAUCCAUCAACACUUCACACAGCUGCUGGGUAGAGGGAGAGCGAGGGGCCAAACCAUCAACUGGGACAGUCUGGAGCUUCCACAGAUCCAAACUGAUGGAUUGGAUAACCCUUUCUCUGAAGAAGAAGUGUGGGCGGCGAUCAAGGCUUCACCAGCGGAGAAGCCGCCAGGGCCUGAAGGUUUCUCUGACACUUUCUGCCGGGCUUGCUGGGGCACAAUCAAAACAGAUGUCAUGGCCGUGUUUGAUCACUUCUACAGUCUCGCAAGGGGCAAUUUCAGCGACCUCAACCCGCGAUGA